GCAAGUCGAGCGGUAGCACAGAGAGCUUGCUCUCGGGUGACGAGCGGCGGACGGGUGAGUAAUGUCUGGGAAACUGCCUGAUGGAGGGGGAUAACUACUGGAAACGGUAGCUAAUACCGCAUAAUGUCGCAAGACCAAAGUGGGGGACCUUCGGGCCUCAUGCCAUCAGAUGUGCCCAGAUGGGAUUAGCUAGUAGGUGGGGUAACGGCUCACCUAGGCGACGAUCCCUAGCUGGUCUGAGAGGAUGACCAGCCACACUGGAACUGAGACACGGUCCAGACUCCUACGGGAGGCAGCAGUGGGGAAUAUUGCACAAUGGGCGCAAGCCUGAUGCAGCCAUGCCGCGUGUGUGAAGAAGGCCUUCGGGUUGUAAAGCACUUUCAGCGGGGAGGAAGGCGAUAAGGUUAAUAACCUUGUCGAUUGACGUUACCCGCAGAAGAAGCACCGGCUAACUCCGUGCCAGCAGCCGCGGUAAUACGGAGGGUGCAAGCGUUAAUCGGAAUUACUGGGCGUAAAGCGCACGCAGGCGGUCUGUCAAGUCGGAUGUGAAAUCCCCGGGCUCAACCUGGGAACUGCAUUCGAAACUGGCAGGCUAGAGUCUUGUAGAGGGGGGUAGAAUUCCAGGUGUAGCGGUGAAAUGCGUAGAGAUCUGGAGGAAUACCGGUGGCGAAGGCGGCCCCCUGGACAAAGACUGACGCUCAGGUGCGAAAGCGUGGGGAGCAAACAGGAUUAGAUACCCUGGUAGUCCACGCCGUAAACGAUGUCGAUUUGGAGGUUGUGCCCUUGAGGCGUGGCUUCCGGAGCUAACGCGUUAAAUCGACCGCCUGGGGAGUACGGCCGCAAGGUUAAAACUCAAAUGAAUUGACGGGGGCCCGCACAAGCGGUGGAGCAUGUGGUUUAAUUCGAUGCAACGCGAAGAACCUUACCUGGUCUUGACAUCCACAGAACUUAGCAGAGAUGCUUUGGUGCCUUCGGGAACUGUGAGACAGGUGCUGCAUGGCUGUCGUCAGCUCGUGUUGUGAAAUGUUGGGUUAAGUCCCGCAACGAGCGCAACCCUUAUCCUUUGUUGCCAGCGGUUCGGCCGGGAACUCAAAGGAGACUGCCAGUGAUAAACUGGAGGAAGGUGGGGAUGACGUCAAGUCAUCAUGGCCCUUACGACCAGGGCUACACACGUGCUACAAUGGCAUAUACAAAGAGAAGCGACCUCGCGAGAGCAAGCGGACCUCAUAAAGUAUGUCGUAGUCCGGAUUGGAGUCUGCAACUCGACUCCAUGAAGUCGGAAUCGCUAGUAAUCGUAGAUCAGAAUGCUACGGUGAAUACGUUCCCGGGCCUUGUACACACCGCCCGUCACACCAUGGGAGUGGGUUGCAAAAGAAGUAGGUAGCUUAACCUUCGGGAGGG
This 1401-nucleotide ribosomal RNA is filed under the name Klebsiella sp. Its description in RNAcentral is "bacterial SSU rRNA". It matches the Rfam family "Bacterial small subunit ribosomal RNA". The record is from RNAcentral. Lineage: Bacteria; Pseudomonadati; Pseudomonadota; Gammaproteobacteria; Enterobacterales; Enterobacteriaceae.